RNAcentral lists this unclassified non-coding RNA (142 nucleotides) under uncultured fungus. RNAcentral describes it as "sequence contains ITS1". Lineage: Eukaryota; Fungi. The record is from RNAcentral.
UUGUAUAUUUAGUCUCACUCAGACAACAUGUUCAGAUGAUAGUUUGGCCGUGUAAGACGACCAAGCAAGAGGUAGAUUGGCAAGGGUUGGAGUUCCCGAAGGAAUUCUUGUAAUGAUCCUUCCGCAGGUUCACCUACGGAAA